CCUGGUUGAUCCUGCCAGUAGCAUAUGCUUGUCUCAAAGAUUAAGCCAUGCAAGUCUAAGUACACACGGCAUGUACAGUGAAACUGCGAAUGGCUCUUUAAAUCAGUUAUGGUUCCUUUGAUCACUCUCGCGUUACUUGGAUAACUGUGGCAAUUCUAGAGCUAAUACAUGCCAACGAGCGCUGACCUCUGGGGAUGCCUGCAUUUAUCACACCCAAAAACCAUGUGCGCUUUGGUUACUCUAGAUAACCUUGAGCCAAUUGCUGGCCCCCGGGGCGGCAAUGUCUCAUUCGAAUGUCUGCCCUAUCAACUUUUGAUGGUACUUUCUGUGCCUACCAUGGUGACCACAGGUAACGGGGAAUCAGGGUUCAAUUCUGGAGAGGGAGCCUGAGAAACAGCUACCACAUCCAAGGAAGGCAGCAGGCGCAUAAAUUACCCACUCCCGACUCAGGGAGGUAGUGAUGAAAAAUAACAAUACAGGACUCUUUCGAGACCCUGUAAGUGGAAUGAGCACACAUUAAAUCCUUUAACGAGGAUCAAUUGGAGGGCAAGUCUGGUGCCAGCAGCCACAGUAAUUCCAACUCCAAUAGUGUAUCUUAAAGUUGCUGCAGCCGUAGUUGGAUCUCAGGAUCAAGCUGACGGUCCACCGCGAGGCGAGCUAGCAUCUGUCCCAGCCCCUGCCUCUUGGCACCCCCUUGAUGCUCUUAGCUGAGUGUCCCGCAGGGUCCAAAGCAUUUACUUUGAAAAAAUUAGUGUUCAAAGCAGCAUGAAUACCACAGCUAGGAAUAAUGGAAUAGGACUCCAGUUCUAUUUUGUGGGUUUUCUCUCUGAACUGGGGCCAUGAUUAAGAGGGAUGGCCGGGGGCAUUCGUAUUGUGCUGCUAGAGGUGCAAUUCUUGGACCGGCGCAAGACGGACAAAAGCGGAAGCAUUUGCCAGGAAUGUUUUCAUUAAUCAAGUACAAAAGUCGGAGGUUCGAAGAUAUUCAGGUACCAUCAUAGUUCCAAUCAUAAACGAUGCCAACUAGCAAUCCAGCGGCGUUAUUCCCAUGACCCGCCGGGCAGUGUCUGGGAAACCAAAGUCUUUGGGUUCCAGGGGGAGUAUGGUUGCAAAGCUGAAACUGAAAGGAAAUGAUGGAAGGGCAAAACCAGGAGUUGAGCCUGUGGCUUAAUUUGACUCAACACGGGAAACCUCACCCGGCCCAGACAUGGAAAGGAUUGGCAGAUUAAUAGCUCUUUCUCAAUUCUGUGGGUGGUGGUGCAUGGCCAUUCUUAGUUGGUGGAACAAUGUCUUGUUAAUUCCAAUAAUGAAUGAGACUCCGGCAUGCUAACUAGUUACGCAGCCCCAUGCGGUCAGCGUCCAACUUCUUAGAGGGACAAGUGGCGUUCAGCCACACGAAAUUGAGCAAUAACAGGUCUUUGAUGCCUGGGGCUGCACGCGUGCCACACUGAGUGGAUCAGCAUUUGUCUACCCUUCGCCGAGAGGCAUGGAUAACCUGCUGAAAAACCCACUUGUGAUAGGAGAUUGAGGAUUGCAAUUAUUUCCCAUGAAUGAGGAAUUCCCAGGAAGCGCAGGUCAUAAGCUCACAUUGAUAAAGUCCCUGCCCUUUGUACACACCGCCCGUCGCUACUACCAAUUGGAUGGUUUAGUGAGGUCCUCGGAUUGGUCCCACCGGGGUCAAUGGCGGAAUAUGGAGAAGAAGAUCAAACUUGACUAUCUAGAGGAAGUAAAAUUUGUAACAAGGUUUCCGUAGGUGGCCCUGCGGAAG
This 1765-nucleotide ribosomal RNA is filed under the name Monopterus albus (swamp eel). RNAcentral describes it as "SSU rRNA". It matches the Rfam family "Eukaryotic small subunit ribosomal RNA". Lineage: Eukaryota; Metazoa; Chordata; Actinopteri; Synbranchiformes; Synbranchidae. The record is from RNAcentral.